Molecule: ribosomal RNA, 405 nt
Filed under: uncultured bacterium
Lineage: Bacteria
Description: partial 16S ribosomal RNA
Rfam family: Bacterial small subunit ribosomal RNA
Source: RNAcentral
AUUGACGCUGGCGGCAGGCCUAACACAUGCAAGUCGAACGAGUGGCGGUCGGGUGAGUAAUGUCUGGGAAACUGCCCCAUAGAGGGGGAUAAGUACUGGAAACUGUAGCUCAUACCGCAUACCAUCGGAUGUGCCCAGAUGGGUUUAGCUAGUAGGUGGGUUAAAGGCUCACCUAGGCGACGUUCCCUAGCUGGUCUUAUAGGAUGACCGGAAACAAUGGAACUGAGACACGGUCCAGACUCCUAGUGGAGGAAGCAGUGGGGAAUAGUGAACAAUGGGAGCAAGACCGAUGCAGCCAUGCGGAGUAAGUGAAGAAGGACUUCGGUUAGUAAAGUACUUUCAGAAGGGAGGCGUUAACCGCAGAAGAAGCAACGGCUAACUACGUGCCAGCAGCAGCGGUAAUUC